Molecule: long non-coding RNA, 360 nt
Organism: Strongylocentrotus purpuratus (purple sea urchin)
Lineage: Eukaryota; Metazoa; Echinodermata; Echinoidea; Camarodonta; Strongylocentrotidae
Exons: 3
Source: RefSeq, a predicted model, not a curated record
UCGCAACCGAUUUCGAGGAGAACACAAUGGAGGACUUCUUCAUGGCUGAGAAGAGGGGACAAAACUUGAAGAAGUACAAGUACUGCGAACAAUUCCACCAGGAUUGCUGGUGCGGCAGGAGGUCAGGCAAGGUCGUCUUCUGUAGCGGCGCUGGAACUGGAGACAGUAUGUAAAGCCCCACACUAACCCGGAUAUAUCGAACCGACCUCCCUCUUGGAACCGUAAUCGGCAUUACAGUGCUUAACCCUAUGAAUGUUUUUUUCAUGGACACUUAGAGUUCAUUUAAUGUCCCUUGAAUGAAUGACACGGCCGUCUACACUCAGUUUGAUGUGAUGUUCUUGGUAUGAUCUAUCCAAUAGU